GGUAUGUUAUUGGUUAUAUAUAACAUGGCUGUCCUACUGAGCCAUUAUCGGCCUAAUGGCACUAUAUUUGCCUUUACAGACGAUAAAAGGGUACAACAGAAAUUGGCUUUGUAUCAAGGAGUAUGCCCCAUUUACAUGGAGUUUGCAGACGAUGCUGAAGAAACCUUUUCAAAUGCUCUUCAAGUGUUAAAG
This is a long non-coding RNA of Helianthus annuus (common sunflower), 192 nucleotides long. RefSeq lists it as uncharacterized. The transcript has 2 exons. NCBI's taxonomy places the organism in Eukaryota, Viridiplantae, Streptophyta, Magnoliopsida, Asterales, Asteraceae. The record is from RefSeq and is a predicted model, not a curated record.